This 429-nucleotide ribosomal RNA is filed under the name Gemmatimonadota bacterium. RNAcentral's name for it is "Gemmatimonadetes bacterium partial 16S ribosomal RNA". It matches the Rfam family "Bacterial small subunit ribosomal RNA", at positions 355 to 776 of the family's 1533-position model. The record is from RNAcentral. Lineage: Bacteria; Pseudomonadati; Gemmatimonadota.
UAGGGAAUCUUCGGCAAUGGACGAAAGUCUGACCGAGCAACGCCGCGUGAGUGAAGAAGGUUUUCGGAUCGUAAAACUCUGUUGUUAGAGAAGAACAAGGACGUUAGUAACUGAACGUCCCCUGACGGUAUCUAACCAGAAAGCCACGGCUAACUACGUGCCAGCAGCCGCGGUAAUACGUAGGUGGCAAGCGUUGUCCGGAUUUAUUGGGCGUAAAGCGAGCGCAGGCGUUUUCUUAAGUCUGAUGUGAAAGCCCCCGGCUCAACCGGGGAGGGUCAUUGGAAACUGGGAGACUUGAGUGCAGAAGAGGAGAGUGGAAUUCCAUGUGUAGAGGUGAAAGGCGUAGAUAUAUGGAGGAACACCAGUGGCGAAGGCGGCUCUCUGGUCUGUAACUGACGCUGAGGCUGGAAAGCGUGGGGAGCAAACAGG